UUGCCGGACCUGACGCUCCGAAGCCGCUUGGAGAGAAGAAAUGCAGUACCUUUUCAGUGGCUUUGAGCAUCGUUGUCACGUAAACGGAUACCAAAAAAGAAAUCACAGUUUUGCCUUUUCAUUGGAAACGUUGUAUAAACAGGAUCUAAAUCUCUCAACUUCAGAUUUCAUGCUGCUCAGCAGAUCUGCCAACUUUUGACUUCAGGACUGAGAUGUUUUAUGCUUCAUGCGUACGAACCUGGGAGAACGUCAUAAUAUUUAUAUAGUGAUCCAUCGUGUGGUGCUGGAGCCCGUCCUAUCAUACAAUGGGCGAUAUCUUUGGAAGUGGUCAGCGGAGUGAUAUCCCAUGCACCGGCUGGAGAGGAGGAGUGGAGGACGUGCAGAGAAGCACGGCUUGGAGCGAUUCCCAAGAUUACAGGAUGAUUGUGAGAGGAAACCACAACUGCAAAAAGCAUCUGUUCCAAAUCGGGAGGAUGGCUUUUGAUGUGGACACCGACCGUGAGGGUUUCCGCAAGAUUCAGGAAACCUGGCCACCGACGCAGAGAGCGAGAAGAAAUGGGAAAUCUUUGGUGAUGGGGCUGAGGUCGGGCGAGGCAAGUCAAAUUCAGACGCAUCAAACACUGGAAAGCACUAAUUUUGGGACUCGUGUGAAAUAAUGUUAUUCCAUUCAUUUAAUACUGGAGAUUUUUAUGUGACCUUCUAAUCAUGAGCUGCGAUCUGUGUGAUUGUCAUGAUUCAUGAGGAAAGAGUAAAGUCAUAAUCACAACCCUUCAAGCAUCUCAAGCUUUGACUGUUGAACUGCGGUUUUUAAUAAUAUUGUAAAAAUCUCCACGACAAAGCGGAAAAUUAAAAAAACUGUCGCGUCCUCCCCGGUCGCUCAUAAUUCGGCUCUGCUCCACUGCUCUCCUCUUCCUUUCACGCCAUCCUCAUUUCGAGCCCCGGACUUGGCGACGCUUCACGCCAGAGCAAAACAAUUUAACAACGCGCUAUUUGCAUUUGAGAAGAUUCAUUUUCUGUUGUUUUUUUACGCUCUCCUUUUGUAGUGGGCUGUGAUCGCCUGUCAAAGUUUCCCCACUCACACAGAGAAUAAGGCCUUUCUGGAGCUGACCACUCUGAUGAACAAAAAAAAAAAAAAAAAAAA
Salarias fasciatus (jewelled blenny) is the source of this 1141-nucleotide long non-coding RNA. RefSeq lists it as uncharacterized. NCBI's taxonomy places the organism in Eukaryota, Metazoa, Chordata, Actinopteri, Blenniiformes, Blenniidae. The record is from RefSeq and is a predicted model, not a curated record. The transcript is spliced from 3 exons.